RNAcentral lists this transfer RNA (73 nucleotides) under Variovorax sp. WDL1. RNAcentral's name for it is "tRNA-Ala". It matches the Rfam family "tRNA". Rfam says of the family: Transfer RNA (tRNA) molecules are approximately 80 nucleotides in length. Their secondary structure includes four short double-helical elements and three loops (D, anti-codon, and T loops). The record is from RNAcentral. Lineage: Bacteria; Pseudomonadati; Pseudomonadota; Betaproteobacteria; Burkholderiales; Comamonadaceae. RNAcentral also lists the same sequence under 1 other name.
GGGGCUGUAGCUCAACUGGAAGAGCGCAUCGCCGGCAGCGAUGAGGUCGUCGGUUCAACUCCGGUCAGCUCCA